CUGACGUUGAGGCACGAAAGUGUGGGGAGCAAACAGGAUUAGAUACCCUGGUAGUCCACACUGUAAACGAUGGAUACUAGGUGUAGGGGGUAUUAAGCCUUCUGUGCCGUCGCUAACGCAGUAAGUAUCCCACCUGGGGAGUACGACCGCAAGGUUGAAACUCAAAGGAAUUGACGGGGGCCCGCACAAGCAGUGGAGUAUGUGGUUUAAUUCGAAGCAACGCGAAGAACCUUACCAGGGCUUGACAUAUACAGGAAUAAUCUAGAGAUAGGUUAGCUCUUCGGAGUCUGUAUACAGGUGGUGCAUGGUUGUCGUCAGCUCGUGUCGUGAGAUGUUGGGUUAAGUCCCGCAACGAGCGCAACCCCUGUUUCUAGUUGCCAGCACGUUAAGGUGGGAACUCUAGAGAGACUGCCGUUGAUAAAACGGAGGAAGGUGGGGACGACGUCAAAUCAUCAUGCCCUUUAUGUCCUGGGCUACACACGUACUACAAUGGCUAUAACAAAGGGAAGCGAAACAGCGAUGUGAAGCGAAACUCAAAAAAGUAGUCUCAGUUCGGAUUGUAGGCUGAAAUUCGCCUACAUGAAGCCGGAAUGCUAGUAA
This 600-nucleotide ribosomal RNA is filed under the name uncultured bacterium. RNAcentral's name for it is "bacterial SSU rRNA". It matches the Rfam family "Bacterial small subunit ribosomal RNA", at positions 740 to 1341 of the family's 1533-position model. The record is from RNAcentral.